Molecule: long non-coding RNA, 1520 nt
Organism: Rhincodon typus (whale shark)
Lineage: Eukaryota; Metazoa; Chordata; Chondrichthyes; Orectolobiformes; Rhincodontidae
Exons: 3
Source: RefSeq, a predicted model, not a curated record
UGUUGCAAGCCCUACAUUAAAACGGUCGGCUGCAGUUCAAAAAGUAUUUCAUUGGCUGUGAAGUCCUAAUGUUGUGUAAGGUGCUACACGAAUAAUGACAGAAAUGUGCAGAUUAUCAAAAAGUCCUUACAGUGGCAGUGACGCUCCUUUCCUGGCUGUGAAAGAUAAAGAUAGGAAGCUAUCCCAAAGUCCACAGUCCAUUCAACAAGGUUCAGAAAUCAAAUACUGGUUGGAAUCCAGCACUUUGAAACCAAACCAUUCCCAAUGCCAGUUCCCAGCAGCAGCAGCGACACGGGCUGCACAAGGCUCUCGGCAGUCUGUCUGACGCACCCAGGAUCACGUUUCACUAAAAUCCAAAUUUCAUCCUCAAACAUUCAUGUGUUCAUAUCAAACUUACUUUUCAAGUGAUUCCUGGUUAACGCACGUCACAUCUCCUCAAACACUGGGGUUGGGGGGGCGGUUAUUCUGGUGAAAUCGAGUGUUAAAGUGGACGCUGUGCUAAUAAGACACACCUAAUUCAAAGUCUGGCUUUAACCUGAAAGUCUUGUAUCAGAUUGCUGUUUGUUCAUGGGCUGUGUACUAUCUUGUCCCGGCAGUAUACGGGUGAUAUCUUGCAAGUUGACAUGAUUGAAGGGUGCCUGCAGGCAAGAAAGGAGUCACGUGCAGGUUUAGCACACAAAGUACUGAGGGGGUGCAGCUUCUGUGCAAUGUCAUUUUAAGCCUAUCCCCUUCACUAUCAGGCCAGUUUAUCUGACAGCAUUGGGAAUAUGGUUUGGAAGGGGCUGGGGCGUGCGCAAACAUUUGGGAAAAGCGUAAUGCCAAAGUGAGGCAGAAACUGGGCUUUUGAGAGCACCGUUCCGUCUCCAUUGCGGGUAUUAACCUGGUCAUCAGGUGUGAGGUACUGUCUCUGUUGUCGUAUGUGGCGCAGGUCCGGCCCAUUUCCAGAACCUGUGCAAUUGCAGACCCCUAAGCCAUUUUCCACUUCAGCUGGAGGGCGAAGCUGGACUGGAUCCAAAGGGAUACCAUCUACAAAGCUCUUGUUAAGGUUUCGGGUGAGGGCGGAGCAAACAUACCAAACGUCGCCCUCAUCCUGAUGGCCACCUUUCUGUGUUGCUGCAUCAAGCUGUGCAUAGACCCUCAGUACGCAAACACCAAGUGUCACUACGUACUGAGAUUCUUCCUGUCCCUGGUGUUGCGAAGGAUGGGCCUCGUUGCCGUGGAAUGUUCCAAGCAGUCGGACCAUUCCGUAUCACCUGUCCUUCUAGGAGAAAUUUGCAAAAGAAAAGACUUUUGACCACUAGUCCAUCAGGGAGUGGUCAGCACCAUAGCAUCCUUUAGACCCUACGGGUAAAGGAGAGGGUGGAUCCUGUUGCAUGGUUCCCUGAGCAGUUUGUCAAAGUCAUUUGACAGAAUGCCUCAUCGCCAGAACGUGCCAACAUGCAGCAAGACAUCACGUGGCUGCUGGUGAGAAGGCCAUUACCUGUGAGAUACUUAAUGAACACCCUGUUGGUCUGGGUGCU